ACGGAAGGCAGCAGUGGGGAAUAUUGGACAAUGGGGGGAACCCUGAUCCAGCCAUGCCGCGUGUGUGAAGAAGGCCUUUUGGUUGUAAAGCACUUUAAGCGAGGAGGAGGCUACCUAGAUUAAUACUUUAGGAUAGUGGACGUUACUCGCAGAAUAAGCACCGGCUAACUCUGUGCCAGCAGCCGCGGUAAUACAGAGGGUGCGAGCGUUAAUCGGAUUUACUGGGCGUAAAGCGUGCGUAGGCGGCCAAUUAAGUCAAAUGUGAAAUCCCCGAGCUUAACUUGGGAAUUGCAUUCGAUACUGGUUGGCUAGAGUAUGGGAGAGGAUGGUAGAAUUCCAGGUGUAGCGGUGAAAUGCGUAGAGAUCUGGAGGAAUACCGAUGGCGAAGGCAGCCAUCUGGCCUAAUACUGACGCUGAGGUACGAAAGCAUGGGGAGCAAACAGGAUUAGAUACCCUGGUA
RNAcentral lists this ribosomal RNA (460 nucleotides) under uncultured Acinetobacter sp. RNAcentral describes it as "bacterial SSU rRNA". It matches the Rfam family "Bacterial small subunit ribosomal RNA", at positions 341 to 792 of the family's 1533-position model. The record is from RNAcentral. Lineage: Bacteria; Pseudomonadati; Pseudomonadota; Gammaproteobacteria; Moraxellales; Moraxellaceae.